GAGAACUUGCAACUCGAAUCGCCUCUAGUACCACACCGACAACUGUAUCGUCUGCUGCGUCGACGAAAUAUGACAUUCAACGGCCCACAAGUUCAAGAAGAGUGUACUGCAAAGCGUUUAUUCAUGAUGCUGAAUAAAAGAGUCCAGUGGCGGUC
This 155-nucleotide long non-coding RNA is filed under the name Dermacentor andersoni. Its description in RNAcentral is "uncharacterized LOC126524552". The record is from RNAcentral. Lineage: Eukaryota; Metazoa; Arthropoda; Arachnida; Ixodida; Ixodidae.